UCCGGGACUGAGUUCUGUGCAC
RNAcentral lists this microRNA (22 nucleotides) under Rattus norvegicus (Norway rat). Its description in RNAcentral is "rno-miR-673-3p". Its record names the gene rno-miR-673-3p. The record is from miRBase by way of RNAcentral. Lineage: Eukaryota; Metazoa; Chordata; Mammalia; Rodentia; Muridae.